CCUACGUGAGGCAGCAGUAGGGAAUCUUCCACAAUGGACGAAAGUCUGAUGGAGCAACGCCGCGUGAGUGAAGAAGGGUUUCGGCUCGUAAAGCUCUGUUGGUAGUGAAGAAAGAUAGAGGUAGUAACUGGCCUUUAUUUGACGGUACUUACUUAGAAAGUCACGGCUAACUACGUGCCAGCAGCCGCGGUAAUACGUAGGUGGCAAGCGUUGUCCGGAUUUAUUGGGCGUAAAGCGAGUGCAGGCGGUUCAAUAAGUCUGAGGUGAAAGCCUUAGGCUCAACCGGAGAAUUGCAUCAGAAACUGUUGAAUUUGAGUGCAGAAGAGGAGAGUGGAACUCCAUGUGUAGCGGUGGAAUGCGUAGAUAUAGGGAAGAACACCAGUGGCGAAGGCGGCUCUCUGGGCUGCAACUGACGCUGAGGCUCGAAAGCAUGGGUAGCGAACAGGAUUAGAUACCCCAGUAGUC
This 465-nucleotide ribosomal RNA is filed under the name uncultured bacterium. Its description in RNAcentral is "partial 16S ribosomal RNA". It matches the Rfam family "Bacterial small subunit ribosomal RNA", at positions 338 to 795 of the family's 1533-position model. The record is from RNAcentral.